Lontra canadensis (Northern American river otter) is the source of this 374-nucleotide long non-coding RNA. RefSeq lists it as uncharacterized. NCBI's taxonomy places the organism in Eukaryota, Metazoa, Chordata, Mammalia, Carnivora, Mustelidae. The record is from RefSeq and is a predicted model, not a curated record. The transcript has 2 exons.
UAACUCCUUUAGCUGACUGAUGGACAUACAGAUAUAGCAAUAUAUGUAACGCUUAACUAGUAGUGAUAAGGUAAUGAAGAAUAUCACAAACUCUGAAUAACAAUACUGAAUCAACAUCAGUUAGCCCAAUCUGCGUACAUUAUAAAUGAAAAGAGCACUGUUCUACAAUAACCUCAGCCUUAUGAAAAAACUGUAAGUCUUCUGAAAAUAUAAGCUGAUGCAUGACUCGUCCCAUGAACAAGACCGUACCUGCGUUGGGGUGGAAGUGAACAAAACAGGGUGUGAACAAAAAAGUGGGAUAUUUACUUUCCUUCUUGCUGACAAUUAGCAGUGUUCUAAAAAUAAAAAUAUAAAUAAUUCUUUUUAAAAAAUCA